This 337-nucleotide ribosomal RNA is filed under the name uncultured Pseudomonas sp. RNAcentral's name for it is "bacterial SSU rRNA". It matches the Rfam family "Bacterial small subunit ribosomal RNA", at positions 1046 to 1382 of the family's 1533-position model. The record is from RNAcentral. Lineage: Bacteria; Pseudomonadati; Pseudomonadota; Gammaproteobacteria; Pseudomonadales; Pseudomonadaceae.
UGGCUGUCGUCAGCUCGUGUCGUGAGAUGUUGGGUUAAGUCCCGUAACGAGCGCAACCCUUGUCCUUAGUUACCAGCACGUUAUGGUGGGCACUCUAAGGAGACUGCCGGUGACAAACCGGAGGAAGGUGGGGAUGACGUCAAGUCAUCAUGGCCCUUACGGCCUGGGCUACACACGUGCUACAAUGGUCGGUACAAAGGGUUGCCAAGCCGCGAGGUAGAGCUAAUCCCAUAAAACCGAUCGUAGUCCGGAUCGCAGUCUGCAACUCGACUGCGUGAAGUCGGAAUCGCUAGUAAUCGUGAAUCAGAAUGUCACGGUGAAUACGUUCCCGGGCCUU